GCAGCACACACAAUGUGAUCACCAGAGAAAUCACGCAGUUACAGUUUUUUUUUAGUUUUUCUUCACAUGCAAUAAACACCACACACCAACUGAAACCAAAGAUGUCCCUUAAUAAUUAUCUGACUACUUUGGGGAAUUCAUAGAGAAUUGAAAUUUAAAGGUGGUCAGUUUAUCCCUAAUUUAUUAUAGCGAAAGUAAUGCACCCUGUUCUGAUGCAGCAGAACUCUGUGAAUUUCACGCCCUUCAUCCCAAUGCAAAUGCACUGAAGUACAUCACUGACGAUCUACAAAGUCUUCAUUUCCUCACAUCAACCAACAUAAAACGUGGUUUUCAACAUGCCACAAUGCGUGGCAAAAUGCAUGGAUAUAAAAAAUAUACUUAAAAAUGAAUACAAUAAAGAAACUCUUAAGGUCAGAGUGAUUAAAUCCUAACAUUUUCUUCAAUGACUUACUUUGGAUCAGCGGACUGUGGUAUAUCAGUGGAGACGUUUGUUUGGAAGAGGUGGAAAUUUAAGAAAGAUCAGGUUCAGAGAUAAUUUAAGGCGUCUGAAAUUGUACUAUUAAAAUAUUCUAAUUUAUUUAUGCAGCCAAACAGGUUAUGAAUGUUUUAUACCCAAAUCAGGUCUUUUUACCUUUGUUGUUGGGUUCCAAGGUUUCAUUUGAAGGAUAAAACCCCACUUCCUCCUUGUAAUUCACAUAAUACCGGUGUUUUGUUUUGCCUUUUUGUGUCGACACAAGGCUGGUGCUUUUAAGCCGUUUAGAUGGAGUUACAGUGUCCAUUAGAGUGAAUAGGGGUGUACUGCUUCAAUCUGGGGGGAUAGAGUUUCACUUAACACCUGUUCAGUGGUCAGGGCUCCAUUCGCUCUCAGAUCCAGAAAACGUCUGCUCCAUCGAAACCAUUAUAAUUCACAGUUCAACAGAGAGAAAAGCAGGGAGGGAGGAAAGCGACUAUCUGCGCUGUUUCCUAAAAGAAAUCGGCUUACUUUUCUAAAAGCCUGGGGAGCCCAAUCAAAUUCAAAUAGCAGGGAACUUCCCUUCCAGGCAAGUCUUGAGGGAUUUUCUUUAAUUUGGAUGUCAGACUCAAAAGUUUGCACACUCCUCUCAUCCUAAAAUCCGUUAAUGUGCAUAUAUGGCGCCACAUGAGAGCUAGGUGGUAAUUUUUUUGAACAGACUUCGGAAACACUAAGGAGCCAGUCUAAUCCAGGUAGAUUUUGUGGUUUCCGUUCCCCCCCCCUAGGAAUAGGCAUUACAAACAUAUUCUUAGCAGUCAUUUAAUUUCUUUCUUUCCUCAAAGAAUCACUAGAUAGCAAUUUCUCCUUUGAGUUGUGGCCUACAUCAGCCACAGUGUUGAAGGGGAUGUUAAAUUAGAGCAGAAAAUAUUCCCAAAGGUUCCUCCCGCCUCCCCUGGGCCGAGCCUUAAAAAUAAACACUCAGAAACACUCCAGAUUAUGUAAACACAUUUCUCUUAAACGCUUACGCGAGAGCAGCGACUGAAUAAACAGCACUUCUUUCACUCACUUUGGAAAUCAGUAAGCAAAGAGCACAUUUUUAAUAAACUCGGCGAGGACGACAGAAAUUAGAAACCCGAAUCGACUCGUCUUCUGCGGCGUGGAGACAGGAGUGCAGGAAUUUCUCUCGGCAGCUUAAAGGUGGCUGCCACUCACAUCGGCCCAGCUGUAGUCUCCUUGUCUCCCCUGCCCUCCCUCCCUGUCUUUUCUUUCUCUUGCUCACUGUGACAAGGCAUCUUUCCAGACAUUUUAGUUUGAUGGAGAUUUGCAGCAGCUCAUUACAGACUGGGAGGCUCUGUGAGCGGAUGCAGUCACUCGGAGAUGGAUUGAGUGGGUCUGUUUAUUGACAUGCCUUAAUCUGACACUGGGUAAAGGGAAUGAGUCACCGCCUCCAGACACACUGCCACAUCACAGCCACUCCAGCAAACAGGGAGGCAGCACCUAGGAUACGAGUGGAACUUCAUCAGCGCUCAUUAAUCUAGCAACCCCAGGCCACUCGCUCAAACAAACCGUGUUUACACUGCAUGUUGGCUGGAUGGGGGGGUGAUGGAGCUUUUCAAAGGGCAUGUGUGCAGGUGCUCGGAUCUCUCACACACAUAAAUGCACAAACUGUGACCACACACAGGCACACAAACAUACAAACUUCGACUCAGGCUCAUAAAAAGGGAUUCCUUCCAUUCUCCUUGCAUAUGGAAACAGCUGCUAUCAAUUGAAAGUUUUGUCACGUUACGACAACAAGCUGCAAUGUAUUUUACUGGGAUUUAUGUGAUAAGCCAACACAAAAUAGCAUAUAUUAUGAACAUAAAACAUGGUUUAAACAUUUGCUUAUGUAUUCACCAAACUCAAUUUAAACCCAGUGUAAACAAUUGGUUAAUUACAAAACAGAUGUAUGUGAUGUAGUCUCGAUAUACUACAUGGAAGAAGAUUGGACAUUUGAGCCUACAUGCAAAAAAAAAAAAAAAAAAGAGUAGAU
Xiphophorus hellerii (green swordtail) is the source of this 2480-nucleotide long non-coding RNA. RefSeq lists it as uncharacterized. The transcript is spliced from 2 exons. Lineage: Eukaryota; Metazoa; Chordata; Actinopteri; Cyprinodontiformes; Poeciliidae. The record is from RefSeq and is a predicted model, not a curated record.